RNAcentral lists this ribosomal RNA (437 nucleotides) under uncultured bacterium. RNAcentral's name for it is "partial 16S ribosomal RNA". It matches the Rfam family "Bacterial small subunit ribosomal RNA", at positions 28 to 507 of the family's 1533-position model. The record is from RNAcentral.
GAUGAACGCUGGCGGCAUGCCUAACACAUGCAAGUCGGACGGGUAGUGGUGUUUCCAGUGGCGGUCGGGUGAGUAACGGGUAAGAAACUGCCCUUGGGAGGGCCACAAUAGCUGGAAACGGCACCUAAUACCCCGUAGACUGAGGAGCACAAGGAGGGAUCCGCCUGAGGGGGGGCUCGAGUCUGAGUCGCUAGUUGGUGAGACGAUAGCCUACCAAGUUGAUGGUCAGUGGCUGGUCCGAGAGGAUGAUCAGCCACACCGGGGCUGAGACACCGCCCAGACUCCUGCGGGCGGCAGUGGGGAGGCUUUCACAGCAAGGGGAGGCAGGAUGACGGGGCGCUGCGGCGGGGAGGAAGGAGUCCUAGGGGUCGUGAACUUCUUGUACCGGAGAGGAGACAAUGACGGUAUCUGGAGAAGAAGCACCGGCUAACUCCGUG